GAAGAACCCCUUGCAACAUUUCCGGUAAGGUGGGUCUCGUGAUGAACUCCCUCAGCUUCCAUUUGUCUGAGAAAGACUUUCUAUCUCCUUCAUUUUGAAGUAUAACUUUCCCAGGUUGAAAAGGUACAUGCUGCUUGUUUUAUCUGAAAGACACGCUGUGUAAUCUCACCACAUAUAAGACAUCCUAUAACUAAUCAUCAUUCUCUUCCUGAAAAUAUGAGAAUAUAAUCGCCUCCUCCCGGCUCAGGGAAGAAGUUAAACUUUUGAUGAGGAAAAAAAUCAUAAUUUCUACUGCUUUUGAAAUUUUCGGAGUCUCCGUUCCAGACGUAGCAGAACUACGGCGCUGAUAUUCUGAAAACAGAGUACGAGCUGAAACUCUGUGUUCAUCUCUUUCCCGGUUUAGUGAUCAGUGUGACGGGGAGAGAUUAGUAUCAGCGCAAUAAAAUUACCAUAUGU
Molecule: long non-coding RNA, 456 nt
Organism: Felis catus (domestic cat)
Lineage: Eukaryota; Metazoa; Chordata; Mammalia; Carnivora; Felidae
Exons: 3
Source: RefSeq, a predicted model, not a curated record